This 483-nucleotide ribosomal RNA is filed under the name uncultured bacterium. RNAcentral describes it as "partial 16S ribosomal RNA". It matches the Rfam family "Bacterial small subunit ribosomal RNA", at positions 28 to 523 of the family's 1533-position model. The record is from RNAcentral.
GACGAACGCUGGCGGCGUGCUUUACACAUGCAAGUCGAACGGUGAAGGUGGAGCUUGCUCCGCCGGAUCAGUGGCGAACGGGUGAGUAACACGUGGGCAACCUGCCCCUAACUUUGGUAUAACUACUCGAAAGAGUAGCUAAUACCGGAUAUGAAGUCUGUAGGCAUCUACGGACUUGGAAAGUUUUUCGGUUAGGGAUGGGCCCGCGGCCUAUCAGCUUGUUGGUGGGGUAGUGGCUCACCAAGGCGACGACGGGUAGCCGGCCUGAGAGGGCGACCGGCCACACUGGGAGUGAGACACGGCCCAGACUCCUACGGGAGGCAGCAGUGGGGAAUAUUGCGCAAUGGGCGAAAGCCUGACGCAGCAACGCCGCGUGCGGGAUGAAGGCGUUCGGGUUGUAAACCGCUUUCAGCAGGGAAGAAGCGAAAGUGACGGUACCUGCAGAAGAAGCACCGGCUAACUACGUGCCAGCCGCCGCCGUAA